AGGUGCGAUCAUACCAGCACUAGUGCAUGGAUCCCAUCAGAACUCCGCAGUUAAGCGUGCUUGGGCGAGAGUAGUACUACGAUGGGUGACCUCCUGGGAAGUCCUUGUGUUGCACCUC
Molecule: ribosomal RNA, 118 nt
Filed under: Glycine max (soybean)
Lineage: Eukaryota; Viridiplantae; Streptophyta; Magnoliopsida; Fabales; Fabaceae
Source: RNAcentral